This 21-nucleotide non-coding RNA is filed under the name Arabidopsis thaliana (thale cress). The record is from RNAcentral. Lineage: Eukaryota; Viridiplantae; Streptophyta; Magnoliopsida; Brassicales; Brassicaceae.
GAAACCUGAGAAUUUGAUGAU